CACCCAUCUCUACCCCAUGUAAACCAGUAUCUACCUGAGCCUGAAGUCUAAUCUGCUACAGGAAGGAGAGAAAACGGAAGGGAAGAAAGGAUUGCCACCAAGUCCCAGGUCCUAGAUGGAAAACUCAUCCUCCUCUCUAGAUUGGACUCUCUCUCUUUGCCAGUGUUAAACUUCCAACUGGUGUUUUUUUUUCUGAAAUGAAAAUUUGACAUUCUGUAAGAAGCCUUCCUGUACUGCCUGCCAGAGCCAGAGUUUAUGGCACUCCUCUUAGAAGAGCUGCUGUUCAUUUCUUGUAUUUACCCCAAACCACCUGCAUGGCUACUUUCUUCCAACAGCUAUGUCCAAAUGUCCUUAAUAAGGCAGAGACUGGGCUCUGGUGAAGAAAACAAAUUGCAGUCCCUGGAAGAUUUCUACUUUCUACAAGAUGCUGCUUUACCACCAGUCCCAAAUAGCAGUGCU
Long non-coding RNA from Perognathus longimembris pacificus (Pacific pocket mouse), 459 nucleotides. RefSeq lists it as uncharacterized. The record is from RefSeq and is a predicted model, not a curated record. The transcript is spliced from 2 exons. NCBI's taxonomy places the organism in Eukaryota, Metazoa, Chordata, Mammalia, Rodentia, Heteromyidae.